This 433-nucleotide ribosomal RNA is filed under the name uncultured bacterium. Its description in RNAcentral is "partial 16S ribosomal RNA". It matches the Rfam family "Bacterial small subunit ribosomal RNA", at positions 29 to 507 of the family's 1533-position model. The record is from RNAcentral.
AACGAACGCUGGCGGCAGGCCUAACACAUGCAAGUCGAGCGCACCCUUCGGGUUGAGCGGCGGACGGGCGAGUAACGCUUGUGAACGUGCCCUUCUCUGCUGAAUAUCCUCUGGAAACUGUGAGUAAUACCUCAUACGCCCUUUGGGGGUUAGAUUUAUCGUAUACGGAUCGUCCCGCUUUGGAUUAGUUUGUUGGUGUGGUAAUGGCCCACCAAGCCGCUGAUCCAUAGCAGGUUUGAGAAGAGUACCAGCAAAACUGGGACUGAGACACGGCCAAGACUCUUAAGGGAGGCAGCAGUGGGGAAUCGGAGAAAAUGGGAGCGACCCUGAUCUAGACAUGCCGCGUGAGAAAAGAAGGCAUUAGGGUGGUAAAGCUCUUUCAGAAGGGAAGAUAAGAACGGAACCAGAAGAAGAAGCCCCGGCAAAACCCGUG